RNAcentral lists this small RNA (548 nucleotides) under Pongo abelii (Sumatran orangutan). RNAcentral describes it as "retained intron". The record is from RNAcentral. Lineage: Eukaryota; Metazoa; Chordata; Mammalia; Primates; Hominidae.
GAUUAGAACCAUAUCUCUCGCCGGGAGUGGCCGCGCGGCUCCGAAGCUCCCGGCCGGCGGCUAUUUAAGCGAGUCCCGCCGCAUCCGCUGCGCUGCAGCCUGGAGGCUCCGGGCGCGGGGAAGUCAUGCUCGCUUCGCGGAGGCAAUAGCUAGCCGUGCAACAGAAAUAAACCAAAUGUGUUCGAACAUAUGUCAGAAGGGUGACAUAAUCAUAUGAAGAAUGCUAUACCAGUUUGGCUUUGGGACGAAAUGUGAAUCUACUAGGGAAACAUACAAUUGCCCUCUGAGUCAGAAGAACAGAAGUUGCAGUGGCUACACAUAGUAGGUGCUCAAAUAUCCAUCCUUUAAAGGGAAGUGUCAGCUGUGCUUUAGUUAUAUCAGCAUUGGGUUUUGUUGUUACUUGAUUUUGUUUUGUGUUGCUCCCUGCCCCCUUUACCUCUAAAAUUAAAUGACUUAAAUGCAAUUCAUUUUUGAAGUAGAAAACAAGUAUGUAGCUGAUAGAAAAGGCUUUUCCAUCAAUAGUUGGUUGCUAGUAAGGAGGGUCAAUA